GGAGUUAGCCGGUGCUUCUUCUGUGAGUGAUGUCCUUCCUGCCGGCUAUUAACCCGCAGGCCUUCUUCCUCACUGAAAGUGCUUUACAACCCGAAGGCCUUCUUCACACACGCGGCAUGUCUGGAUCAGGGUUGCCCCCAUUGUCCAAUAUUCCCCACUGCUGCCUCCCGUAGGAGUCUGGGCCGUGUCUCAGUCCCAGUGUGGCUGAUCAUCCUCUCAGACCAGCUACGGAUCGUCGCCUUGGUGAGCCGUUACCUCACCAACCAGCUAAUCCGACAUAGGCUCAUCCGAUAGCGCGAGGCCCGAAGGUCCCCCGCUUUCCCCCGUAGGGCGUAUGCGGUAUUAGCCUGGGUUUCCCCAGGUUAUCCCCCACUACCGGGCAGAUUCCUAUGCAUUACUCACCCGUCCGCCGCUCGCCACCAGGGAGCAAGCUCCCCGUGCUGCCGCUCGACUUGCAUGUGUUAGGCCUGCCGCCAGCGUUCAAUCUGAGCCAUAAUCAAACUCUGA
Molecule: ribosomal RNA, 507 nt
Filed under: uncultured bacterium
Lineage: Bacteria
Description: partial 16S ribosomal RNA
Source: RNAcentral